Molecule: ribosomal RNA, 115 nt
Filed under: Danio rerio (zebrafish)
Lineage: Eukaryota; Metazoa; Chordata; Actinopteri; Cypriniformes; Danionidae
Source: RNAcentral
GGCCACAGCCAUAUGAUCCUGCAGCCCAAGACCGGUUACUGACUAAAGCUAAGUAGGGCUGAGCCUAGUCAGUACCUGGAUGGGAGACCACAUGGGAAAAAGGUUGCUGUUGGAA